RNAcentral lists this ribosomal RNA (523 nucleotides) under uncultured bacterium. RNAcentral describes it as "bacterial SSU rRNA". It matches the Rfam family "Bacterial small subunit ribosomal RNA", at positions 8 to 526 of the family's 1533-position model. The record is from RNAcentral.
AGAGUUUGAUCCUGGCUCAGGACGAACGCUGGCGGCAUGCCUUACACAUGCAAGUCGAACGGCAGCGCGGGAGCAAUCCUGGCGGCGAGUGGCGAACGGGUGAGUAAUACAUCGGAACGUGCCCAAUCGUGGGGGAUAACGCAGCGAAAGCUGUGCUAAUACCGCAUACGAUCUACGGAUGAAAGCAGGGGACCGCAAGGCCUUGCGCGAAUGGAGCGGCCGAUGGCAGAUUAGGUAGUUGGUGAGGUAAAGGCUCACCAAGCCUUCGAUCUGUAGCUGGUCUGAGAGGACGACCAGCCACACUGGGACUGAGACACGGCCCAGACUCCUACGGGAGGCAGCAGUGGGGAAUUUUGGACAAUGGGCGCAAGCCUGAUCCAGCCAUGCCGCGUGCAGGAUGAAGGCCUUCGGGUUGUAAACUGCUUUUGUACGGAACGAAACGGCUCUUUCUAAUAAAGAGGGCUAAUGACGGUACCGUAAGAAUAAGCACCGGCUAACUACGUGCCAGCCGCCGCGGUAAUAC